AUGGCUGAUAACAUACGGGAAAUCUUGACAGAUGUGUCAAUUUAUGGUAAAGGACUUGAUAUUGAAGCGAGAUAUAAGUAUAUAUCCAAACUGCAGCUUGACAAAGAUCUAACAACUCUCCCAGACCCAUACAAAUGUCCUGAGGCUGAUGAGAAAUAGAGAUGUGAUUUGAUCAACUGGCCUAGCAUAUAUUUCGGACAACAGUAAAUACGGAUAUGAUUUAAAACCAGCCGUCUUCAAUACCACAUCCGAGAGACAGAAUUGCAAGAGCCUUGAGACUUAUAGAUUGGGAAAACAUGUAGUUAUGUAGCUGAUCGAUAGACGUACAUGAAGUCUUUCACAGAUGUUUGUCCGAUGUGGAAUCAGCAUUUCAAAGAGCAGGUAGAUCCAAGCCCUGUGAUAGAAAUGCUGCACCUUGGUCUAGAUUUCCUGGCAUGUGAACAACAACUUGGAUCCACUACCAUGUAUACAACAGUUGGAUUCCCUGCCAUUCAAACAGCAUUUGGAUUCCCCUGCCAUGUGAACAACAGUUGAGAUCUCCUGCCAAGUAAAGAACAGUUGGAUUUCCCUACCAUGUGAACCACAGUUGAGAUCCCCUACCAUGUGAACAACAGUUGAGAUACCCUACCAUGUGAACCACAGUUGAGAUCCCCUACCAUGUGAACAACAGUUGAGAUCCCCUACCAUGUGAACAACAGUUGAGAUACCCUACCAUGUGAACAACAGUUGAGAUCCCCCCCGGCCAUGUGAACAACAGU
Mya arenaria is the source of this 758-nucleotide long non-coding RNA. RefSeq lists it as uncharacterized. The transcript has 3 exons. The record is from RefSeq and is a predicted model, not a curated record. Lineage: Eukaryota; Metazoa; Mollusca; Bivalvia; Myida; Myidae.